This 76-nucleotide transfer RNA is filed under the name Persephonella sp. RNAcentral describes it as "tRNA-Lys". It matches the Rfam family "tRNA". From Rfam's summary of the family: Transfer RNA (tRNA) molecules are approximately 80 nucleotides in length. Their secondary structure includes four short double-helical elements and three loops (D, anti-codon, and T loops). RNAcentral also lists the same sequence under 1 other name. Lineage: Bacteria; Pseudomonadati; Aquificota; Aquificia; Aquificales; Hydrogenothermaceae. The record is from RNAcentral.
GAGCCGCUAGCUCAGUCGGUAGAGCACCGGUCUUUUAAACCGGUGGUCCCGGGUUCGACCCCCGGGCGGCUCACCA